CUUAGCGGCGGACGGGUGAGUAAUGCUUAGGAAUCUGCCUAUUAGUGGGGGACAACAUUUCGAAAGGAAUGCUAAUACCGCAUACGUCCUACGGGAGAAAGCAGGGGAUCUUCGGACCUUGCGCUAAUAGAUGAGCCUAAGUCGGAUUAGCUAGUUGGUGGGGUAAAGGCCUACCAAGGCGACGAUCUGUAGCGGGUCUGAGAGGAUGAUCCGCCACACUGGGACUGAGACACGGCCCAGACUCCUACGGGAGGCAGCAGUGGGGAAUAUUGGACAAUGGGCGCAAGCCUGAUCCAGCCAUGCCGCGUGUGUGAAGAAGGCCUUAUGGUUGUAAAGCACUUUAAGCGAGGAGGAGGCUACUUUAGUUAAUACCUAGAGAUAGUGGACGUUACUCGCAGAAUAAGCACCGGCUAACUCUGUGCCAGCAGCCGCGGUAAUACAGAGGGUGCAAGCGUUAAUCGGAUUUACUGGGCGUAAAGCGCGCGUAGGCGGCUAAUUAAGUCAAAUGUGAAAUCCCCGAGCUUAACUUGGGAAUUGCAUUCGAUACUGGUUAGCUAGAGUGUGGGAGAGGAUGGUAGAAUUCCAGGUGUAGCGGUGAAAUGCGUAGAGAUCUGGAGGAAUACCGAUGGCGAAGGCAGCCAUCUGGUCUAACACUGACGCUGAGGUGCGAAAGCAUGGGGAGCAACAGGAUUAGAUACCCUGGUAGUCCAUGCCGUAAACGAUGUCUACUAGCCGUGGGGCC
This 742-nucleotide ribosomal RNA is filed under the name Acinetobacter sp. RNAcentral's name for it is "bacterial SSU rRNA". It matches the Rfam family "Bacterial small subunit ribosomal RNA", at positions 91 to 829 of the family's 1533-position model. The record is from RNAcentral. Lineage: Bacteria; Pseudomonadati; Pseudomonadota; Gammaproteobacteria; Moraxellales; Moraxellaceae.